This 392-nucleotide ribosomal RNA is filed under the name uncultured bacterium. RNAcentral's name for it is "bacterial SSU rRNA". It matches the Rfam family "Bacterial small subunit ribosomal RNA", at positions 53 to 490 of the family's 1533-position model. The record is from RNAcentral.
ACAUGCAAGUCGAACGAAGUAGCAAUACUUAGUGGCAGACGGGUGAGUAACAUGUAGGUAUCUGCCCUUUGGCCUGGAAUAACACGAGGAAACUUGUGCUAAUACCGGAUAAGUCUUUACGGAGAAAGCUUUAUGCACCAUUGGAUGAGCCUGCACUUGAUUAGUUUGUUGGUGGGGUAAUGGCCUACCAAGACUGUGAUCAAUAGCUGAUUUGAGAGGAUGAUCAGCCACAUUGGGACUGAGACACGGCCCAAACUCCUACGGGAGGCAGCAGUGGGGAAUCUUGCACAAUGGAGGAAACUCUGAUGCAGCGAUGCCGCGUGAGUGAAGAAGGCCCUUGGGUUGUAAAGCUCUUUCGUCGGGGAAGAAAAUGACUGUACCCGAAUAAGAAG